This is a long non-coding RNA of Ochlerotatus camptorhynchus, 906 nucleotides long. RefSeq lists it as uncharacterized. The transcript has 3 exons. The record is from RefSeq and is a predicted model, not a curated record. Lineage: Eukaryota; Metazoa; Arthropoda; Insecta; Diptera; Culicidae.
CCCGCGGGAAAGUGCCGAUCAAGGUGACUACAUAUAGGUGUUCUAAUGUGUCAAAUUCACGAUUCAGCUAUGUUGGAUUUUUGUAUGGAACAGCUACCGAGUUUGUUUCUGUGCCAUAAAAAGGGAGCUACCGAGUUUGUUUACAAUUUGCUCUAAAACCGCACUUUUCCCCCCGCGACCUCCACGCUAAUAUAGUGACAAAGCUGUAUCACCAUUUAUAUACCCACCAUGGUGCCGAUAAUGUGUCCGUCGCGAGUUUCAAUGUUUUUCUGGAAAGUGUACCAGUCCCAAGCCGACUCCCGGUAGGGAGUCUGAAGCUGGAUCCCGGCGGGAAGUUUGCAGCCGGAUCUCUUUUGCAGUUCGUCAAUAAGGUAGAAGACUGGCAGCCCAAAACUUUCCGCAUUUUUGGAUCAUCUGUAGAACAGGCAGAGAUCUGGAGGCGCAGCGAUCACAUUGUCAUGAUUGUCUGGUAGUUCACUCAAAAAUGCUAUAACAAUCGCCAAGCUUGCUGUAAUGUCACCAAGUGCCUCGUCACCCAUGAAUAGGCGCCUAUGUCAGUGGUCUAACAACUCUUAGCGCGCUAAUGGCAUAGUUCCCCUGCCGCAUAGAGAGUUGCCACAAUGAUAUUAGGUUAGCUAAGGUCAGUUAACUGACUGGUGGGAAACGGGAGCUUAAGCAAUGGCUAUUCUUUAUGCAUUUAAGAGAUAGUCUACCAGAAUGGAUGACUUUUUUUUGUACAAUUUUAUGUUUUCUGAUGGUUUUGGUUGCAAAACAUGAGUUUUAACUUUUCCAAUGCUUUCAAUUGUACAAAGCAUUAGAGCUAGAAACAUGAUCUUGUAAACACUACACACCUUAACUGGUAGUUUGCUAAAAAAAAUGCUGCAACAAUCGUCAAGCUCGCUGUAA